UGUCCGGGGAGAUAAGUCCUUAUAUACUCGGUCUCACAUCGAUUCAAUCUUUGGACUUAUCAAACAAUAGUUUGACAGGAUCAGUGCCUGAGUUUUUUACACAGCUACAAUACUUGAGAGUGCUGAACUUGAAAGGAAACAAUCUCGAAGGCUCAAUUCCAGCUGGACUAAAAGAAAAAGUAGACAAGGGUUUGCUGUUAUUAAG
This is a long non-coding RNA of Pistacia vera, 205 nucleotides long. RefSeq lists it as uncharacterized. Lineage: Eukaryota; Viridiplantae; Streptophyta; Magnoliopsida; Sapindales; Anacardiaceae. The transcript has 3 exons. The record is from RefSeq and is a predicted model, not a curated record.